This 270-nucleotide unclassified non-coding RNA is filed under the name Hevea brasiliensis (rubber tree). The record is from RNAcentral. Lineage: Eukaryota; Viridiplantae; Streptophyta; Magnoliopsida; Malpighiales; Euphorbiaceae.
AAGUAAUCAUUUUACACCUGUAACAAUUACAACUGGAUUUUCUCAGCCAAUGUGAGGCUCCCUACAUGUUUAAAUUCCAACGUAAACUCAAGUAUAAAAUGUGUAGUUACAUUUUUCACUUGAGAGAUGAACAAAUGAAUUGAGUACACUGUACAAAUUUACCACAUAUUUCCCAAACUUGCAACUGUUAGGAUUACCGCUAUGGAACAUGUAACUGUAGUCGAAUUGCCCAAAUUUUGGCCUAUCUCUCUAAGGAAAACUAGCUCCCUG